UGUAAGCUAAGACAGAGUAGUUGAUCUGUGUCCUAGUAGUCCAGGAGGACAAUUGAACUUGAGCAAUUCAAUGGUGUGGCAUUCUCCUUAGAUGUGAAAUGCUUUGAUUCAGAUUCAGUUUCUGUGGCCUAACAUUUUAUACGCCCAACUUAUUCUCUUCUUCUUCCUAGUGAUUUGAGUUCAUUGAUUGAUUACCAAUCUGAUCUAGAAUUUUCAUCAUUAUUAUUAUUGUUAUUGUUAUUGUUA
Molecule: unclassified non-coding RNA, 246 nt
Filed under: Hevea brasiliensis (rubber tree)
Lineage: Eukaryota; Viridiplantae; Streptophyta; Magnoliopsida; Malpighiales; Euphorbiaceae
Source: RNAcentral